AGCGGGAAAAGCUCAAAUUUAAAAUCUGGCAGAUGUUUGUCUGUCCGAGUUGUAACCUAGAGAAGUGUAACCUGUGCUGGACCGUGUACAAGUCUCUUGGACAUAGAGCAUCAUAGAGGGUGGGAAUCCCGUCUUUGACAUGGACUACCAGUGCAUUGUGGUUGCGCACUCAACGAGUCUAGUUGUUUGGGAAUGCAGCUCUAAAUGGGUGGUAAAUUCCAUCUAAAGCUAAAUAUUGGCGAGAGACCGAUAGCGAACAAGUACCGUGAGGGAAAGAUGAAAAGAACUUUGGAAAGAGAGUUAAACAGUAUGUGAAAUUGUUGAAAGGGAAACGCUUGAAGUCAGCUGCAUUGGCUGGGAAUCAAGCCAGCUUAUUUGCUGGGUGUACUUCCUGGUUGAUGGGCCAACAUCAGUUUUGACCAUCAGAGAAAGGCUAAGGGAAUGUGGCACCUU
This 453-nucleotide ribosomal RNA is filed under the name Amanita verna (spring destroying angel). RNAcentral's name for it is "partial large subunit ribosomal RNA". It matches the Rfam family "Eukaryotic large subunit ribosomal RNA", at positions 97 to 545 of the family's 3401-position model. Lineage: Eukaryota; Fungi; Basidiomycota; Agaricomycetes; Agaricales; Amanitaceae. The record is from RNAcentral.